This 238-nucleotide non-coding RNA is filed under the name Clostridiales bacterium. RNAcentral describes it as "6S RNA". It matches the Rfam family "6S / SsrS RNA". Rfam says of the family: E. coli 6S RNA was the first non coding RNA to be sequenced, but its function was unknown until recently. It consists of 184 nucleotides that fold into an extended hairpin structure with a large single-stranded internal bulge. The 6S RNA specifically associates with RNA polymerase holoenzyme containing the sigma70 specificity factor. Lineage: Bacteria; Bacillati; Bacillota; Clostridia; Eubacteriales. The record is from RNAcentral. RNAcentral also lists the same sequence under 1 other name.
GAAUGCCUGCGGAGUUCGUGAGAGGGUAUAUCCUUUUACAGGAUAAUACCCGACCCUAUGUAAAAACCCACAUUUACGAAAGGGAGUUCACAUUCAACGGCGGUGAGCAGGCCUCCCGCAUAUAAGCUGCUUUGUCACCUUAUAUGCGGACGUUGGAAGCUCUGAAACCCGAGAGAGGACACCCACCUGCACAAAGGCAGGGUUUCGUUCCAUGGGGACACGGCUUUGCGGGUUUAGG